CCCUUAGAUGUUCUGGGCAGCACGCGCGCUACAAUGGUCUUCGCAAACGGAUGCAUUCUCGAAGGAGAAUGCCAAUCUUGGAAUCUAUGCCUUGGUCGGGACAGUUGCUUGCAAUUUUUCGACUCGAACCAGGAAUUCCUUGUAAUCGUGAUUCAUCACAUCACGAUGAAUACGUCCCUGCCCUUUGUACACACCGCCCGUCGCUCCUACCGAUUGGAUGGCCCGGCGAAGUGGUCGGACCGGCGGCCCAGGCACGGUCGUGCCACGGGCCCCGGGAAGUCCACUGAGCCUUGCCAUCUAGAGGAAGGAGAAGUCGUAACA
This 321-nucleotide ribosomal RNA is filed under the name uncultured eukaryote. Its description in RNAcentral is "partial 18S ribosomal RNA". It matches the Rfam family "Eukaryotic small subunit ribosomal RNA", at positions 1470 to 1796 of the family's 1831-position model. The record is from RNAcentral.